Molecule: long non-coding RNA, 540 nt
Filed under: Homo sapiens (human)
Lineage: Eukaryota; Metazoa; Chordata; Mammalia; Primates; Hominidae
Description: non-protein coding lnc-DCTD-65:23
Source: RNAcentral
GCAGAUCGCGGGAGAGCCCAAUCACGGGGCGAGCUGGACCUGGCUGUGAUCAUUUAUAAUCCUUGACUCCUCCGCUCCGCCACUUGUCAAGAUGACAGGGGUCAUCCGUGAAUAACACUUCACGCUGAUGAAUGGCUCUUGCCGGCUUUCGGCUCUGAUGAGGGGUCUGCCCGCCGCCGAUUGAAAACACUAAUGAACUUACUGCGCCAUUUGAAAUUCACACGCACCAACAAAAUGGGGGGUGGGCAUUUCAGGUCAGCUGAGUCACCCGAGGAGGUGGCAGUGCAAGACACUGCCGGGAAGACGGAUUCCGAGGCAGAAGGGUGUAAUUAAGGAUUUCCACCCCCGCUUCAGAGCAGAGGAUUCCGCCGACCUCCACCUGUACCUGUACUCGGCCGUUAGGAAAUCCACUUGCAUUUUUAACUACCGUGCAGAACCAGAAACAGAUCGAGCACUGGGAGAACAAGGACGACGCCUCCUAGGAAAGCCUGAACCUUUAUGUUAGUUUAUCCAAAGUUUGGGCUAGAAGUGAGGAGAAUC